GACGAACGCUGGCGGCGUGCUUAACACAUGCAAGUCGAACGGAAAGGCCCUGCUUUUGUGGGGUGCUCGAGUGGCGAACGGGUGAGUAACACGUGAGUAACCUGCCCUUGACUUUGGGAUAACUUCAGGAAACUGGGGCUAAUACCGGAUAGGAGCUCCUGCUGCAUGGUGGGGGUUGGAAAGUUUCGGCGGUUGGGGAUGGACUCGCGGCUUAUCAGCUUGUUGGUGGGGUAGUGGCUUACCAAGGCUUCGACGGGUAGCCGGCCUGAGAGGGUGACCGGCCACAUUGGGACUGGGAGACGGCCCAGACUCGUACGGGAGGCAGCAGUGGGGAAUAUUGCACAAUGGGCGGAAGCCUGAUGCAGCAACGCCGCGUGCGGGAUGACGGCCUUCGAGUUGUAAACCGCUUUCGCCUGUGACGAAGCGUGAGUGACGGUAAUGGGUAAAGAAGCACCGGCUAACUACGUG
RNAcentral lists this ribosomal RNA (468 nucleotides) under uncultured bacterium. RNAcentral's name for it is "partial 16S ribosomal RNA". It matches the Rfam family "Bacterial small subunit ribosomal RNA", at positions 28 to 507 of the family's 1533-position model. The record is from RNAcentral.